AGUGAACGCUGGCGGUAGGCCUAACACAUGCAAGUCGAACGGCAGCACAGUAAGAGCUUGCUCUUACGGGUGGCGAGUGGCGGACGGGUGAGGAAUAAAUCGGAAUCUACUUUUUCGUGGGGGAUAACGUAGGGAAACUUACGCUAAUACCGCAUACGACCUACGGGUGAAAGCAGGGGAUCUUCGGACCUUGCGCGAUUGAAUGAGCCGAUGUCGGAUUAGCUAGUUGGCGGGGUAAAGGCCCACCAAGGCGACGAUCCGUAGCUGGUCUGAGAGGAUGAUCAGCCACACUGGAACUGAGACACGGUCCAGACUCCUACGGGAGGCAGCAGUGGGGAAUAUUGGACAAUGGGCGCAAGCCUGAUCCAGCCAUGCCGCGUGGGUGAAGAAGGCCUUCGGGUUGUAAAGCCCUUUUGUUGGGAAAGAAAAGCAGCAGGUUAAUACCCCGCUGUUCUGACGGUACCCAAAGAAUAAGCACCGGCUAACUUCGUG
RNAcentral lists this ribosomal RNA (492 nucleotides) under uncultured bacterium. Its description in RNAcentral is "partial 16S ribosomal RNA". It matches the Rfam family "Bacterial small subunit ribosomal RNA", at positions 29 to 507 of the family's 1533-position model. The record is from RNAcentral.